This 368-nucleotide unclassified non-coding RNA is filed under the name Hevea brasiliensis (rubber tree). The record is from RNAcentral. Lineage: Eukaryota; Viridiplantae; Streptophyta; Magnoliopsida; Malpighiales; Euphorbiaceae.
GAAUUUGAAGCAUCAAGUGUGGAUGAUCUCUCUGAAGUCUCAAUUAGCAAGGGAUUCUAAGUAAAAUCAAGAGAGCAUUUUCUCUUAUUACAGGCAUGUUCUAUGACUGCUCCACAUUAAGAGAAGCCGCUCUAUGCUCUAUGGCCCUCAGAUAUGCGUCUAAACCACAUCAAAUUGUUUCCAGAGUUGUGAAUAUUGAGUUCACUCUUUUAUACAGCAGAGAUGGUUCUUCAAAUCCCAUUUCAAUGGAAACUUGCCGAGUCGAUCUGUCAACACGUCUUGCUUUUAUUGAUAUAUGGGGAGUUACUCUAGGUAUUGCUUGAUGUAAAACAAAUAGUGGAUUUAUUUCUGUAUUUUGAUGAGUUAGG